RNAcentral lists this ribosomal RNA (435 nucleotides) under Appasus japonicus. RNAcentral describes it as "partial 16S ribosomal RNA". It matches the Rfam family "Bacterial large subunit ribosomal RNA", at positions 1819 to 2523 of the family's 2925-position model. The record is from RNAcentral. Lineage: Eukaryota; Metazoa; Arthropoda; Insecta; Hemiptera; Belostomatidae.
GUCCUUUUGAUUUUUAUAUAAGGUCUGACCUGCCCUAUGAAUAUUUAAAUGGCCGCGGUAUACUAACCGUGCAAAGGUAGCAUAGUCAUUUGUCUCUUAAUUGGAGGCUUGAAUGAAGGGUUGGACGAGAUAUAAGCUUUCUUUGUUAUAUUUUAUUGAAUUUGACUUUUGAGUUAAAAGGCUUAAAUUUUUUUAUAGGACGCGAAGACCCUAUAGAAUUUUAUAUAUUUGUAUAAUCGAUUUAUUUAUUUAUUAUUUAAUUUUUUGUUUAAAUAUAUUUUGUUGGGGCGAUGGGAAGAUUUUAAUAACUCUUUUUUUUCUAAUCAUUGAUUUAUGUUUUAUUCUGAUCCUUUUUUAGAGAUUAUAAGAUUAAAUUACCUUAGGGAUAACAGCGUAAUUCUUUUGGAGAGUUCUUAUCGAUAAAAGAGUUUGCGA